Long non-coding RNA from Ictalurus punctatus (channel catfish), 729 nucleotides. NCBI's taxonomy places the organism in Eukaryota, Metazoa, Chordata, Actinopteri, Siluriformes, Ictaluridae. The record is from Ensembl.
GGCGUGUUUUUGGGUAGCAACCAGAAGCAUCAGCGACAAGACACACGACUUUAAUAAAUGCACUGAUUUCUGAAUGUGAAACAGAAAGGUGUUGGCAAGUAAUGUGCAGUACAUGCCUGCACAUCCACUCAGACAGAUGAAGAAAAGCUUUUUAGUGAAUGCACAGAGUGUCUCCUGGAGAUUGCAAGGAUUACCAAAUUGUACCAGGGACAGUUGGGGAUAUUGGCCUUAGUGGCAUGCAUGAAUACACACCACCAAAGAAAAGAAUGGAUCGGUGUGGACAUUGACUGAUCGCGUCAAGCUUGUUUGGGGUAAGUGCUAGUCAUUGCAGCUGUGGUAGCUUGGUGCUAUUAUUCCGUGUCUCAUCGCAAGGCAGAUCUGCUGAAGACUGAACUGCUAGACCCCAACAAAGAUGGCUUUGUCACUCGCAAACCAAACUGGAGCCAUCAUCUUCCGAAUGGCAUUCAGGUUCCCUUGAUCUGAACUCUUGCUACAAGGAAGGUACAAUUCUCAGUUACAGACGAUCCAGUGGAUGAAAGCUUAAUUUCUUCACUGAAACUGUGAGACCCAAGGACACAGUGGCGUGUUACCGUGUGCGCUGGGAGGAGCUUGAUGUGUACCGUGCUGUAGAACAUGCCAUGGCCUAUAAUGGCAAUCACUGGUAUGGUGGGACAGAGUCCAGGUCCCAGCACUGGCCAAUUGUUUUUGUGGGAAUCCAGGAACCCAAAC